GAUGAACGCUGGCGGCGUGCCUAAUACAUGCAAGUCGAGCGAACAGAUGAGGAGCUUGCUCCUCUGACGUUAGCGGCGGACGGGUGAGUAACACGUGGAUAACCUACCUAUAAGACUGGGAUAACUUCGGGAAACCGGAGCUAAUACCGGAUAAUAUAUUGAACCGCAUGGUUCAAUAGUGAAAGACGGUUUUGCUGUCACUUAUAGAUGGAUCCGCGCCGCAUUAGCUAGUUGGUAAGGUAACGGCUUACCAAGGCAACGAUGCGUAGCCGACCUGAGAGGGUGAUAGGCCACACUGGAACUGAGACACGGUCAAGACUCCUACGGGAGGCAGCAGUAGGGAAUCGUACGCAAUGGGCGAAAGCCUGACGGAGCAACGCCGCGUGAGUGAUGAAGGUCUUCGGAUCGUAAAACUCUGUUAUUAGGGAAGAACAAAUGUGUAAGUAAAUAUGCACGUAUUGACGGUACCUAAUCAGAAAGCAACGGCUAACUACGUG
This 497-nucleotide ribosomal RNA is filed under the name uncultured bacterium. RNAcentral's name for it is "partial 16S ribosomal RNA". It matches the Rfam family "Bacterial small subunit ribosomal RNA", at positions 28 to 507 of the family's 1533-position model. The record is from RNAcentral.